Molecule: small RNA, 218 nt
Filed under: Arabidopsis thaliana (thale cress)
Lineage: Eukaryota; Viridiplantae; Streptophyta; Magnoliopsida; Brassicales; Brassicaceae
Description: ATSL169910
Source: RNAcentral
AAUUAAUAAAAAAAUUGUUGAGAUAAAGAAGAUGAACCCAAGAACAAAGAAUUAUUGAGAACGUACAUUGCUGCUGAAGAAGUGUUGAUCUUGUUUUUGUACCAAGUUUGGAGCCAAAACAAGCAUUGCUCGUGUAAGUAAUGAAGUUCUUUUAAGAAGUUUUUUGUUAUGUCAUAUUAGGAUCUUGAUUGUGUUCGAACUCCAUUUUUUUAUCAUAA